Molecule: non-coding RNA, 84 nt
Organism: Lizonia empirigonia
Lineage: Eukaryota; Fungi; Ascomycota; Dothideomycetes; Pseudoperisporiaceae
Source: the annotation of a GenBank genome assembly
GGUUCGAUGGUGUAGUUGGUUAUCACGUCAGUCUAACAACUGUUAGCGCACUGAAGGUCUCCGGUUCAAGUCCGGGUCGAAUCA